GACGGAAGGUGCAAGCGUUGCUCGGAAUCACUGGGCGUAAAGGGUGCGUAGGCGGCUUGGUAGGUCUGGUGUGAAAGCCCCGGGCUCAGCCUGGGAAGGGCACUAGAAACUGCCAAGCUAGAGUGCCGGAGGGGAGAGUGGAAUUCCUGGUGUAGCGGUGAAAUGCGUAGAGAUCAGGAGGAAUACCGGUGGCGAAAGCGACUCUCUGGACGGCAACUGACGCUGAGGCACGAAAGCGUGGGGAGCAAACAGG
Molecule: ribosomal RNA, 253 nt
Filed under: uncultured bacterium
Lineage: Bacteria
Description: partial 16S ribosomal RNA
Rfam family: Bacterial small subunit ribosomal RNA
Source: RNAcentral